This 1646-nucleotide long non-coding RNA is filed under the name Malus domestica (apple). RNAcentral describes it as "long non-coding RNA (MDOM_LNC006940)". The record is from RNAcentral. Lineage: Eukaryota; Viridiplantae; Streptophyta; Magnoliopsida; Rosales; Rosaceae.
CGGCCCAAGCCUAAGUAAGGGACCGGUGGCAGAAUAUUUGCAAAGUUAGGUUUUGUGGUUUGAGGGAGAGAUUGGAAAGGAAGAUCCAACCAACCUUGAUGUUGAGUGUGAUGGAAAACACUCUCUCUUGAAAUUAUGAAAUUAAAAUCCAAUGGUAUUGUUUCAAACAAAGUAUACUCUUGCACAUAAACAUACUGUAUUGAAGAAAGCAAACUGAUUAUAUAGUUUAAAACUAUUGUUUCCUAUCUAUUUUGUUCUUUUUUGAAAUUUAAAACUCUAUUUUGUGAUGAAAUCUACUUGUACUUAAAAUUAAGGUCGUAAAUAUAUUGCGAGUGGCAAAUUGCCAUAAUGGAUAGGACAUUAGCCUUCAACUUAAAGGGUUUCAGGUUUAAACUAUUUUUAUGAGUAUAGAUUAGAAUAGUUUUAUCGUUUGUAAUAAAAAAUAUUAUAAAUAUUGUAAUAAAUAUUAUAAAUAUAAUUUUUCGUCACUCUCUUUUAUUACUUUGAAAAGUGAUAAAAUAUUUAUAAAAAUACUUUUACAAUAGGUUGUUAAACUCACCUAUAAUAAACAAUGUAGAAUUUAGAACCUAGACGAAUGAUACCAUGUACAAUUUAGACUCUUUGAAUUAAUCAUAUACAAUGUUUACAAUAAGCAAUGUUCUAAAAAUCCCGCCUAGGCGCUAGGCGGUUGGCCGCCAUCCCGAUUAAUGCAUGGGCGUUUGAAAAUUUAGAAAAGACACCUAUACCUGCUAAGGCGCUCGCCUAACCCGCCCAAACCCACCUAGACUUCUGCCUAGGUUGCGACUCACUUAGAUAGAAAAUAGAUAACUUUCAUUUUGCAUUAUUUUUUUUUAAUAAAUUGUAAGAGACUUGUUGAAUACUUAAAUGAACACACAUUAUAUGCUUGUUCCCCAUGUUUUCAUUAUGUUUGAAUACUCCAUAAUAUAUAUGUCAUUCUGUUUUGUAAUCUAUGAUGUAAUUAUAUAAAUAUUAAGUAUAAACAAACACUUAUGUACACAACAUAUAAUAGAUUUACUUAAAUUCGUCUAAGUGCUAGGCCCUAGCCUGCCGCCUGAUUAGCGACUAGCGUCUUUUAGAACCUUGACAAUAAGAUUUGAGAAAACCAUAUGAUGUAGAAAUCCUAAAUUAUUUACAAUUUAUAUUACAUUUUUUUUUAACAAAAGAUAUUUUUUUACAUUAGGGGAAAGGGGUGGACUUAGCCUCAUAAUGGACUAGCAAUAAUGUGGUUCAAAUUCGUCUUUGGCGAGAAUCGAACCUAAGACCUCUCACUUACAAGUGAAGAGAAAUACUAUUAAACCAUAGUUUAAGUGACAAUUUAUAUUACAUUCUGUUAAUUAUGGAGAGGAUUCUGGAUUAAUUAAUUCUAUUAUAACAAGCAAUAAUAUCACAACUUUGUAUGAACUCGUUACAAACAUAUCAUCCUCGCAUAAGUAUGAAUCAACUUUGAACCAAUUGUUUAUGGGUAAAUUACAUUUUACCACCUUAGGUUUGAGGUCUAUUACAACCUCAUACAAUAUCUUCAAAACAUUUCACUUUCAUACCUCACGUAUUAUUUUAUUCCAAUAUAAUACCUCCGUUACAUUUUACAUCCAUUGCUCCAUUAAGAGCUGACGUGGCUGCCACCU